This 835-nucleotide long non-coding RNA is filed under the name Felis catus (domestic cat). RNAcentral's name for it is "lncRNA (ENSFCAG00000047243.1)". Lineage: Eukaryota; Metazoa; Chordata; Mammalia; Carnivora; Felidae. The record is from RNAcentral.
GACCAGGGCUGAGGCCAGGCUGCGGCUAAUCAGACCAGAUGCUUCCGCCCUACCCGGGAGUCGUGUCGUGUCGUGUGCGGGGUGUGCAGAUGUCUCAGCGCAGCAGGCCCAGGGAGCCUGGGCCAGGCCACGCCCGCACGGCUGCUGAAGGGGACUCAGGGACGGGUCACCCGAAGCCUGUCCUCCGGAGGCUCCAUGUCCUGCGUCGGGGAUUUCCUCCAGGGUACAGACACCUGUCCUGUCGCCUCCUGCCUCGCUGGUCCCUGCUGCCCAGAGAGACCCUCCCCUCCCCGGACCUCCUUUGCCCUUGGACACUCCUUGAGGCUUCCAGGGCACCCCGAAGGGAGGGCAUAGACCGUGACCAGGCAGAGAAGCAGCCGACAGAGAGCCGGAGACGGUGAAGGGACUGAUAUGGAGGCUGGCGCCCGGGCCUGGGACAGUUGCCUGCUGGACAAGGACACCUUCCUGGAAAACUUCCACCUUGAGUGGUGGCCAAAUAAGGCCUACCUCUGCUACGAGACGGAGCUCCCCAGCGGUGACCCCGGGGUCCCUCUGGGCCAACACAAGGACGUCCUGUGCAAUAAGGUUGGACCGAUCUCCAUGGUCCUGGGAGCCCCCACAGUGACAUUCAUCCCAUGGACCCUGGGGGCCUCUCUCCUUGGCGCCCCUCCCCCCUUGUCACUGCACAGGGAGCCCUUUUGUAUCCCACAGGUGAGCAUCCAGAAGCCCCCUCCUUUGGGCGCAGACCUGGCGGGGCUCCAGAAACUCAGUAGUCAAGUUGAAUCCCAUUUGAAUGCAAUAGCUUAAAAGCCAAACUUCAUGCCAAUCCCACGAU